This 433-nucleotide ribosomal RNA is filed under the name uncultured bacterium. RNAcentral describes it as "partial 16S ribosomal RNA". It matches the Rfam family "Bacterial small subunit ribosomal RNA", at positions 29 to 507 of the family's 1533-position model. The record is from RNAcentral.
AACGAACGCUGGCGGCAUGCCUAACACAUGCGAGUCGAACGAGACCUUCGGGUCUAGUGGCGCACGGGUGCGUAACGCGUGGGAACCUGCCUUUAGGUUCGGAAUAACUCAGAGAAAUUUGAGCUAAUACCGGAUGAUGUCUUCGGACCAAAGAUUUAUCGCCUUUAGAUGGGCCCGCGUUGGAUUAGCUAGUUGGUGGGGUAAAGGCCUACCAAGGCGACGAUCCAUAGCUGGUCUGAGAGGAUGAUCAGCCACACUGGGACUGAGACACGGCCCAGACUCCUACGGGAGGCAGCAGUGGGGAAUAUUGGACAAUGGGCGAAAGCCUGAUCCAGCAAUGCCGCGUGAGUGAUGAAGGCCUUAGGGUUGUAAAGCUCCUUUACCCGAGAUGAUAAUGACAGUAUCGGGAGAAUAAGCUCCGGCUAACUCCGUG